This 392-nucleotide ribosomal RNA is filed under the name uncultured Gammaproteobacteria bacterium. RNAcentral describes it as "bacterial SSU rRNA". It matches the Rfam family "Bacterial small subunit ribosomal RNA", at positions 370 to 779 of the family's 1533-position model. Lineage: Bacteria; Pseudomonadati; Pseudomonadota; Gammaproteobacteria. The record is from RNAcentral.
AAUGGGCGCAAGCCUGAUCUAGCCAUGCUGCGUGAGUGACGAAGGCCUUAGGGUCGUAAAGCUCUUUCGCCAGGGAUGAUAAUGACAGUACCUGGUAAAGAAACCCCGGCUAACUCCGUGCCAGCAGCCGCGGUAAUACGAAGGGGGUUAGCGUUGUUCGGAAUUACUGGGCGUAAAGCGCGCGUAGGCGGAUUAUUAAGUUAGGGGUGAAAUCCCGGGGCUCAACCCCGGAACUGCCUCUAAUACUGGUAGUCUUGAGUUCGAGAGAGGUGAGUGGAAUUCCGAGUGUAGAGGUGAAAUUCGUAGAUAUUCGGAGGAACACCAGUGGCGAAGGCGGCUCACUGGCUCGAUACUGACGCUGAGGUGCGAAAGUGUGGGGAGCAAACAGGAUU